AUGCAUGAGAAACCCAACCCGUUGCCGAGACAGAAACUCUAGAGUCUAGACACUUUCUUAUCUGCCUCCUCCCUCAAAACCGUGACUCCUCAGCAACGCACGCUUCUCUGUUCUUCGCAACCACUACCUCUUAUCGCAGUCACGCCCUCUUCUCCGCUGGAAAGGAGCUGUUACCGCCGACGGGGACAGACCGUGGGUGCCGUUGCCGCUUGUGUAAGGUCUGUAUCUCGGGCCCCAUCGCAUCGUUCCUCUUCUCGCCGUCGCCCGAAAGUCUACGUCCAGCUCCUCGCCUCGCAUUCGCCGUCGCGAAGGUUGCUUGUCGUCGUCCCUUCGAUCUCUCUCUCUUUCUCAAGUGUCUUUCUCUCCAUCCGAGUUCGGUCGUUUCUGUAGCAAAGGUUUGCUCUCUGUCCGAGGCUCCGAGCUAACUUCCCUUCCUCGUCGCCGUCACUUCCAUUCCACCCUCGCCACCGGGUUCGAUCCCGGUGGAACCAUUGAACCAGUCACUUGACCGGUUCAAUGACCAGUUCGGUUCUCGCAACCUUGGUCCCCAGUUCCAAUUACAAUUCCAGACGAUGGUGGUGGUGGGACUGGCCAUCACUCUCUCAAAGGCCUUCACUGAUUUCUCCUUGGCACACUACUCCCUCCAUCACCACCACCACCACCGCCUUCUCCUCUCAGC
Molecule: non-coding RNA, 679 nt
Organism: Arachis ipaensis
Lineage: Eukaryota; Viridiplantae; Streptophyta; Magnoliopsida; Fabales; Fabaceae
Source: RefSeq, a predicted model, not a curated record